This 659-nucleotide long non-coding RNA is filed under the name Mytilus galloprovincialis (Mediterranean mussel). The record is from RNAcentral. Lineage: Eukaryota; Metazoa; Mollusca; Bivalvia; Mytilida; Mytilidae.
AUAUAGUGAGUGGGGCAUCCGUGUACUAUGGACACAUUCUUGUUUUUUUAUUAAUAAGUAGGGAAUAAUGCAAUAUGAUAUCAAUUGUCAUGAAUAUGAUUGGCUUCCAGUAGAUUGUGAUAUUUGUGGCCUAGUUUCACUUAAAAAUCAAACACAUUUGAAAUUUCAUAUAUGUUCAUUACAAAAUUUUAAACUUAACACUUGGAUAUAAUAUUUCAGUUUGGGUUUAAACUAUUCUCAUGAUCAUUUUACAUAAAUAAUAGAAACAAAAGAUCACAGUAUAUUAUUCCAGAUGAGAGAACUUCUAAAAUUUUUGAAUGUUUCAUAUCGCAGGUGUUCUCUCUUUUUAAAGCAGUUUUAAUCAAAGUGAUCUAUGUUGUACAUUUCAACAUAAAGUUACUGGGAAAAAAACACACCACAAGACUUUUUUUUCCAAAAUCAAUAUCAAUUUGACAUUAAUAAAGAGAAAUUUGGAGCUCUAUUUUUAAAUUCGUUUAACAUGUUUACCACACUAAAGGGAAUAAAUCAAACUAUCUAAAAACUUCUUCAGUUUUCAGCAAUGCAAAAAUGAUGUGAAAUGAUAUCAAUUACGGUAAAUUAAUUUGUAACUGCAGUCUUAUAAUUUGAUAAUGUUUUGAAAGACAGUCGAACAUUAUUAA